Molecule: ribosomal RNA, 496 nt
Filed under: uncultured bacterium
Lineage: Bacteria
Description: partial 16S ribosomal RNA
Rfam family: Bacterial small subunit ribosomal RNA
Source: RNAcentral
GACGAACGCUGGCGGCGUGCCUAAUACAUGCAAGUUGAGCGCUGAAGGAUGGUACUUGUACCAACUGGAUGAGCAGCGAACGGGUGAGUAACGCGUGGGGAAUCUGCCUUUGAGCGGGGGACAACAUUUGGAAACGAAUGCUAAUACCGCAUAAAAACUUUAAACACAAGUUUUAAGUUUGAAAGAUGCAAUUGCAUCACUCAAGAUGAUCUCGCGUUGUAUUAGCUAGUUGGUGGGGUAAAGGCUCACCAAGGCGAUGAUACAUAGCCGACCUGAGAGGGUGGUCGGCCACCUUGGGACUGGGACAAGGCCCAAACUCCUACGGGAGGCAGCAGUAGGGAAUCUUCGGCAAUGGACGAAAGUCUGACCGAGCCACGCCGCGUGAGUGAAGAAGGUUUUCGGAUCGUAAAACUCUGUUGGUAGAGAAGAACGUUGGUGAGAGUGGAAAGCUCAUCAAGUGACGGUAACUACCCAGAAAGGGACGGCUAACUACGUG